CCUACGGGAGGCAGCAGUAGGGAAUCUUCGGCAAUGGGGGGAACCCUGACCGAGCAACGCCGCGUGAAGGAAGAAGGAAUUCGUUCUGUAAACUUCUGUUAUAAAGGAAGAAAGACGGAUGGAGGAAAUGACAUCCGAGUGACGGUACUUUAUGAGAAAGCCACGGCUAACUACGUGCCAGCAGCCGCGGUAAUACGUAGGUGGCAAGCGUUAUCCGGAGUUAUUGGGCGUAAAGAGGGGGCAGGCGGAAGCAAAGGUCUGUGGUAAAAGACUGAAGCUUAACUUCAGUAAGCCAUAGAAACCGGGCAGCUAGAGUGCAGGAGAGGGUCGUGGAAUUCCAUGUGUAGCGGUGAAAUGCGUAGAUAUAUGGAGGAACACCAGUGGCGAAGGCGACGCUCUGGACUGCAACUGACGCUCAGUCCCGAAAGCGUGGGGAGCAAAUAGGAUUAGAUACCCGUGUAGUC
This 464-nucleotide ribosomal RNA is filed under the name uncultured bacterium. Its description in RNAcentral is "partial 16S ribosomal RNA". It matches the Rfam family "Bacterial small subunit ribosomal RNA", at positions 338 to 795 of the family's 1533-position model. The record is from RNAcentral.